This is a long non-coding RNA of Culex quinquefasciatus (southern house mosquito), 1075 nucleotides long. RefSeq lists it as uncharacterized. The transcript has 2 exons. Lineage: Eukaryota; Metazoa; Arthropoda; Insecta; Diptera; Culicidae. The record is from RefSeq and is a predicted model, not a curated record.
UCCAACUGAAACCAACACCUACGCCACUUCUCGCGCGGUUGCUGACAAACUUAGCAGUUCAUUACGCACCGUUACAGAUCGGUGUACACGCCAACAUUUGUGCCAUAGCAACAAAUCAAGGCAUGUCUCGUGCCUCGUGAGUCGAUUUUCCCGCCACUCCGCCGGGCAAGCAAGCAAAGCAAAUCUGGUUUCAAUCCUUGGAGCGACAAAAGACCACAGGAUGAUGAGUUUCUCUCGGUGUGGGAUCCGUAUACGUAUAGGAAGGAAAGUGUGCGAUCAAUAUUCUAUUUAAGCAACAGAUUGUAUAACAUAUGUAUCAGUUCGGAGUUCCACACAUAACGGGAAAAAUUUUCCACGCGGAAGCAGGAUUUGCAGUGUCCUCGAAAACAGCUCGCCAUCAUAUUCACGGUAAAGCCUGAACACCAACUAAACACACCCACCACCUACACACACAUACACGAGUUCGGUCAACAUGUUGGGUGCACCUUUAACCACAUACGCCCAACUAUAAGGUAAACUUUGAACAAAGUGGUAAGUUUCACUAGUUGUUGUUUUUUUAUCAGCUCCGCUUUCUAGAAUCGAGUGAUACCUACCUGUUGGUCGGGGUUAACUGUCUGUCAAUGAGAUGCUCUAUGUGCUUAUUAAAAAAAUGAAAUAUUUUCCUGUUUUUUUCCUUCACUAAAGAUUAGGAUGCCAAACCGAUUUUCUAAGCUCAUUGGAGGAGUUCUUAAAAGACCAUAAGACUACCGGUGGGAUAUUAGAGAGAAAAAAAAAACAGUUUAUGAAAUCUUUUUAAAACUUAACCGAGAUUACAGAUAGGAGAUCCAUUUAUCUUGAAGUCAUUCAUUUAAAAAAAAAGUUCUUAAAGUUUUUCGUUUUUCCGGAGUCCACGUAAGUGUGUAGUAGGUAUGUGACACGAGAGCACGACAUGAACCAACCGCUACUGAAGCAUAACGGAACAGGAUAUCGCCAUCUGGACGAGGUACUUUUAGUCAGCAAAUUGUUUACCAGCGUUAGGAUGGAAAUUGGUGAUGGGUGAUAAAAUAAAAUCGAUUUCUGAAAUUUUUGGGAAUAA